AGAAAUUGUGCCAAAUAUAACCAAUAAGAUUAUACAGGUUGAGUUAACAAAAUAGAAUAUUUAAAAAAAAGUUAAAAAAAAGAAGAAAACAUCUACUGUUGUUGCCAUUUAUUAGAAAUUACUAUGUUAUCUUGAAAAUGAAUUGACAACCAGACCAAGGUUCUGACAAAUUAUACUUUCAUAGGUGUAUUUCAAUCAAGAACCAACCCUUGGUUCCAUGUAAUAUACCAAUCAGGCUCUGCCUUAUAAAACAGAAAAAAAACCUUGCAUAGUAAAAUCAUCCAUCCCCUUACAAAAUAAGCACAAAGUGCAUGCCAAGACUAUAAUUAGGCAAUACCAAACUUGAUGUUUAAGCGCAAGAACCAUAGCACUACCUCAUGCACUGUGAAUACACUAGUGUCUGAUAGUUACUAUAUUGUUCACCGGGGAGUAUCUGGCCGUGAAUUUGUACUAAACAAAAUAUCAACCACAAAAAGGAGAAUGAUGAUAAAAAGAUGAAAUGAUAUUAACGACUUAACUAUACUUUGCGCUUGUCAAAAAGUAGGGACUUCAAGACUAAUAGUUUACAUCAAAAUUCUCGAGUUAGACAAGGAGGCUAUUGUGGAACUCUUCUAAAACAGGGUUCAAGCAUCAAACGGGCAAAUUGCACUAGUUUCAACUUUUCCAAGAUCAGGUCAAAUUUAUUAAUUCUUUUAAGACCAGAUUAAGUGGGCCAGGUUGCAGUUUGAUUUGUAGAUCAGCUAAUUUUAGUCUGGCCUUGACCACACGCAGGUCAGGUUCAAAUACUUCAUUUUACCUGCUAAUACACAUCAUUUUCCCUAAUUUCAGAGAGAGAGAGAGGAGAUGUCCAGUGAUUAAAUCUGCCUUAAAGAGAAA
This 876-nucleotide unclassified non-coding RNA is filed under the name Hevea brasiliensis (rubber tree). The record is from RNAcentral. Lineage: Eukaryota; Viridiplantae; Streptophyta; Magnoliopsida; Malpighiales; Euphorbiaceae.